RNAcentral lists this ribosomal RNA (376 nucleotides) under uncultured Gammaproteobacteria bacterium. RNAcentral's name for it is "bacterial SSU rRNA". It matches the Rfam family "Bacterial small subunit ribosomal RNA", at positions 521 to 896 of the family's 1533-position model. Lineage: Bacteria; Pseudomonadati; Pseudomonadota; Gammaproteobacteria. The record is from RNAcentral.
UAAUACGGAGGGUGCAAGCGUUAAUCGGAAUUACUGGGCGUAAAGCGCGCGUAGGCGGUUGUUUAAGUCGGAUGUGAAAGCCCCGGGCUCAACCUGGGAACUGCAUUCGAUACUGGGCGACUAGAGUAUGAAAGAGGGAGGUAGAAUUCCAUGUGUAGCGGUGAAAUGCGUAGAUAUAUGGAGGAAUACCAGUGGCGAAGGCGGCCUCCUGGUUCAAUACUGACGCUGAGGUGCGAAAGCGUGGGGAUCAAACAGGAUUAGAUACCCUGGUAGUCCACGCCGUAAACGAUGUCUACUAGCCGUUGGGAGACUUGAUUUCUUAGUGGCGCAGCUAACGCAAUAAGUAGACCGCCUGGGGAGUACGGCCGCAAGGUUA